GCUUAAAGCGGCCGUAGCUGGGUUGUUAAGUCUCUUGGGAAAUCUGGCGGCUUAACCGUCAGGCGUCUAAGGGAUACUGGCAAUCUUGGAACCGGGAGAGGUGAGGGGUACUUCGGGGGUAGGAGUGAAAUCCUGUAAUCCUCGAGGGACCACCUGUGGCGAAGGCGCCUCACCAGAACGGCUUCGACAGUGAGGGACGAAAGCUGGGGGAGCAAACCGGAUUAGAUACCCGGGUAGUCCCAGCCGUAAACUAUGCGCGUUAGGUGUAUCGGUGACCACGAGUUACCGAGGUGCCGAAGGGAAACCGUGAAACGUGCCGCCUGGGAAGUACGGUCGCAAGGCUGAAACUUAAAGGAAUUGGCGGGGGAGCACCACAACAGGUGGAGCCUGCGGUUUAAUUGGACUCAACGCCGGGAAGCUCACCGGAUAGGACAGCAGAAUGAUUGCCGGGCUGAAGACCCUGCAUGACUAGCUGAGAGGAGGUGCAUGGCCGUCGUCAGUUCGUACUGUGAAGCAUCCUGUUAAGUCAGGCAACGAGCAAGACCCACGCCAACAGUUGCCAGCAUGGUCUCCGGACUGAUGGGGACACUGUUGGGACCGCCUCUGCUAAAGAGGAGGAAGGAAUGGGCAACGGUAGGUCAGCAUGCCCCGAAUUAUCCGGGCUACACGCGGGCUACAAUGGGCAGGACAAUGGGCAUCGACACCGUGAGGUGGAGGCGAUCUCCUAAACCUGUCCUUAGUUCGGAUUGUGGGCUGAAACUCGCCCACAUGAAGCUGGAAUCUGUAGUAAUCGCGUUUCAAAAUAACGCGGUGAAUUUGUCCCUGCUCCUUGCACACACCGCCCGUAA
Molecule: ribosomal RNA, 848 nt
Filed under: uncultured prokaryote
Description: bacterial SSU rRNA
Rfam family: Archaeal small subunit ribosomal RNA
Source: RNAcentral